This 460-nucleotide ribosomal RNA is filed under the name uncultured bacterium. RNAcentral's name for it is "partial 16S ribosomal RNA". It matches the Rfam family "Bacterial small subunit ribosomal RNA", at positions 338 to 795 of the family's 1533-position model. The record is from RNAcentral.
CCUACGGGAGACAGCAGUGAGGAAUAUUGGUCAAUGGACGAGAGUCUGAACCAGCCAAGUAGCGUGAAGGAUGACUGCCCUAUGGGUUGUAAACUUCUUUUAUAAAGGAAUAAAACGAGGCACGUGUGCCUUUUUGCAUGUACUUUAUGAAUAAGGAUCGGCUAACUCCGUGCCAGCAGCCGCGGUAAUACGGAGGAUCCGAGCGUUAUCCGGAUUUAUUGGGUUUAAAGGGAGCGUAGAUGGGUUGUUAAGUCAGUUGUGAAAGUUUGCGGCUCAACCGUAAAAUUGCAAUUGAUACUGGCAGUCGUGAGUACAGUUGAGGUAGGCGGAAUUCGUGGUGUAGCGGUGAAAUGCUUAGAUAUCACGAAGAACCCCGAUUGCGAAGGCAGCUUACUAAACUGUGACUGACAUUGAUGCUCGAAAGUGUGGGUAUCAAACAGGAUUAGAUACCCUGGUAGUC